UGCAUCGUCUCGGUGCUGGCCGGGUGUCUGCACCCUGCCACGGCCCAGUGGUUUUCUCUGGGCUCAGAGGACACCGCCCCCGAUCCAGGCACCAGCCCCACGCCCCUCACCCUGGAUGGGGAGGAAGACACAGACACCAGCGUGGAGCGCGUGGGGAAGGUGCUGCUGAGCAAACCUCCUCUGGCAACAGCCCCUAGACGCCGGGACCAACCCUCCAGGGGGACAGCGAAGGGGUCAGGCCAUGCCCCGCCGCGCACACGAGGCCAGCACCGACCCACGGCCGCCCCGGAGGUCCUUGAGGGGAGCGCAGUGGAAGAGGAGUUCCUGCAGAUGCAGACGACGGCGAAGGGGCUGCCCCGGCGGGUCCCGUCGGCCCCCGAGACGGACCCAGCCCUCCAGGUGCACAACACCUCCGGCUGUGUCUGCCCCUUGCGCCCCGGCCCUCCCGGCCCAAAGGUGCGGUGGUCCUCCCGGGGAGGGGCAGGGGUGUGCGGGGACCCCCAGGGACACACUGCGCGAAAUCCUGUUCGUCCUUUGUGCAAAACCCUUUUUGCUCAGGAUCUGGACUCUAACUUUGGGGACUGGGUUGAGAAGUGGCUCAGGUGGCCCCAGGGAGGGGGUCAGCAGGUGCCCGUGGUGGGCCCCAGUGGAGAAAAGUGCCGGAAGGUGGAGCCAGGCUUUGAAUUUCCCCGACAGGGAGAGAAAGGUGACCGAGGAUUCCCUGGAGAGAGAGGCAAGCCCGGAUUCUUAGGGGAGAGAGGGAAGUCCGGCAGCCCAGG
This 779-nucleotide long non-coding RNA is filed under the name Cyanistes caeruleus (blue tit). Its description in RNAcentral is "lncRNA (ENSCCEG00000004354.1)". The record is from RNAcentral. Lineage: Eukaryota; Metazoa; Chordata; Aves; Passeriformes; Paridae.